Xylaria sp. FL1042 is the source of this 101-nucleotide non-coding RNA. The record is from the annotation of a GenBank genome assembly. Lineage: Eukaryota; Fungi; Ascomycota; Sordariomycetes; Xylariales; Xylariaceae.
GGCAACGUGGCUGAGUGGUUAAAGCGUAUGACUAGAAACAUGAGAUGCUUGAGUUCAAUCAUAUCCCUUCGGGGUCACAGGUUCAAGUCCUGUCGUUGUCG